Molecule: ribosomal RNA, 479 nt
Filed under: uncultured bacterium
Lineage: Bacteria
Description: bacterial SSU rRNA
Rfam family: Bacterial small subunit ribosomal RNA
Source: RNAcentral
AGAGUUUGAUCCUGGCUCAGGAUGAACGCUGGCGUCGUGCCUAAUCACAUGCAAGUCGAGCGAGAAGGUAGAGAGUGAUUCUUCGGAAGAGCGAUCUACCAGACAGCGGCGGACGGGUGAGUAACGCGUGGGUAACCUGCCUUAUACUGGGGGAUAACAUUCUGAAAAGGAUGCUAAUACCGCAUAAGCGCACAGCAUCGCAUGAUGCCGUGUGAAAAACUCCGGUGGUAUAAGAUGGACCCGCGUCUGAUUAGCUAGUUGGUGAGAUAAUAGCUCACCAAGGCAACGAUCAGUAGCCGACCUGAGAGGGUGAUCGGCCACAUUGGGACUGAGACACGGCCCAAACUCCUACGGGAGGCAGCAGUGGGGAAUAUUGCACAAUGGGGGAAACCCUGAUGCAGCGACGCCGCGUGAAGGAUGAAGGAUUUCGGUUCGUAAACUUCUAUCAGCAGGGAAGAAAAUGACUGUACCUGACUAAG